GUGGGGAAUAUUCCGCAAUGGACGAAAGUCUGACGGAGCAACGCCGCGUGAGUGAUGAAGGUUUUCGGACUGUAAAGCUCUGUUGUUUAGGACGAAAGUGUCUGUUGCAAAUAGUUACAGGUAUUGACGGUACUGAACGAGGAAGCCACGGCUAACUACGUGCCAGCAGCCGCGGUAAUACGUAGGUGGCAAGCGUUGUCCGGAAUUAUUGGGCGUAAAGAGCAUGUAGGCGGGAAUCUAAGUCUGUUGUGAAAAUGCGGGGCUCAACCCCGUAUUGCGAUGGAAACUGGGUUUCUUGAGUGCAGGAGAGGAAAGGGGAAUUCCCAGUGUAGCGGUGAAAUGCGUAGAUAUCGGGAGGAACACCAGUGGCGAAGGCGGCUUCCUGGCACAAUACUGACGCUCAUGUGCGAAAGCUAGGGCAGCGAACGGGAUUAGAAACCCUUGUAGUCC
This 450-nucleotide ribosomal RNA is filed under the name uncultured bacterium. Its description in RNAcentral is "partial 16S ribosomal RNA". It matches the Rfam family "Bacterial small subunit ribosomal RNA", at positions 354 to 796 of the family's 1533-position model. The record is from RNAcentral.